RNAcentral lists this ribosomal RNA (1837 nucleotides) under metagenome. RNAcentral's name for it is "bacterial LSU rRNA". It matches the Rfam family "Bacterial large subunit ribosomal RNA", at positions 1093 to 2925 of the family's 2925-position model. The record is from RNAcentral.
UCAGGAAGUUGGCUUAGAAGCAGCCAUCCUUCAAAGAAAGCGUAAUAGCUCACUGGUCGAGUCCUUCUGCGCGGAAGAUGUAACGGGGCUAAGCUGUUAACCGAAGCCGCGGAUGCGCUGGUUAUCCAGUGCGUGGUAGGGGAGCGUUCUGUAAGUCUGCGAAGGCGGUUCGAGAGGACUGCUGGAGAUAUCAGAAGUGCGAAUGCUGACAUGAGUAACGUUAAAGCAGGUGAAAAGCCUGCUCGCCGUAAGCCCAAGGAUUCCUGCUCUACGUUCAUCGGAGCAGGGUGAGUCGGCUCCUAAGGUCAGGCCGAAAGGCGUAGCCGAUGGGAAUCAGGUUAAUAUUCCUGAACCUGCGUCAGAUGCGAUGGGGGGACGGAGCAUGGAAGAUCAUCCGGGUGUUGGAAGUCCCGGUUGUUUAGCGUAGGAGGUCUGCAGGCAAAUCCGCAGACGCAUCUCCAAGGCAAAGACACGUGCCGCCACGGCGGCGAAGUGAUCGGAAGUGCUUCCAAGAAAAGCCUCUAAGCUUCAGUCUGAUGCGGACCGUACCGCAAACCGACACUGGUGGGCGAGCUGAAUAUGCUCAGGCGCUUGAGAGAACUCAGGAGAAGGAACUCGGCAAAUUGACACCGUAACUUCGGGAUAAGGUGUGCCUUGGUAGCGUGAAGGAAGAAACAUCCGGAGCGUGAAGAGGUCUCAGAGAAUCGGUGGCUGCGACUGUUUACUAAAAACACAGCACUCUGCAAAGACGAAAGUCGACGUAUAGGGUGUGAUGCCUGCCCGGUGCUGGAAGAUUAAUUGAUGGGGUGCAAGCUCCUGAUCGAAGUCCCAGUAAACGGCGGCCGUAACUAUAACGGUCCUAAGGUAGCGAAAUUCCUUGUCGGGCAAGUUCCGACCUGCACGAAUGGCAUAACGAUGGCCACACUGUCUCCUCCUGAGACUCAGUGAAGUUGAAGUGUUUGUGAUGAUGCAAUCUCCCCGCGGCUAGACGGAAAGACCCCAUGAACCUUUACUGUAGCUUUGCAUUGGACUUUGAACCGAUCUGUGUAGGAUAGGCGGGAGACUGUGAAGCGAGGACGCCAGUUCUCGCGGAGUCGUCCUUGAAAUACCGCCCUGAUUUGUUUGAGGUUCUAACCUAGGUCAGUCAUCCUGAUCGGGGACCGUGCAUGGUAGGCAGUUUGACUGGGGCGGUCUCCUCCUAAAGGGUAACGGAGGAGUGCGAAGGUACGCUAGGUACGGUCGGAAAUCGUGCUGAUAGUGCAAUGGCAAAAGCGUGCUUGACUGCGAGACCGACAAGUCGAGCAGAUACGAAAGUAGGUCAUAGUGAUCCGGUGGCUCUGUAUGGAAGGGCCAUCGCUCAACGGAUAAAAGGUACUCUGGGGAUAACAGGCUGAUACCGCCCAAGAGUUCAUAUCGACGGCGGUGUUUGGCACCUCGAUGUCGGCUCAUCUCAUCCUGGGGCUGUAGCCGGUCCCAAGGGUAUGGCUGUUCGCCAUUUAAAGAGGUACGUGAGCUGGGUUUAAAACGUCGUGAGACAGUUUUGUCCCUAUCUGCCGUGGGCGUUGGAAGAUUGACGGGGGCUGCUCCUAGUACGAGAGGACCGGAGUGGACUGACCUCUGGUGUACCGGUUGUCACGCCAGUGGCAUCGCCGGGUAGCUAUGUCGGGAAGAGAUAACCGCUGAAAGCAUCUAAGCGGGAAACUUGCCUGAAGAUAAGUCUUCCUGGAGGCUUGACCUCCCUGAAGAGUCGUUCGAGACCAGGACGUUGAUAGGUUGGGUGUGUAAGCGCUGUGAGGCGUUGAGCUAACCAAUACUAAUUGCUCGUGCAGCUUGAUCC